GGGUCGAUGGCGUAGUUGGUUAUCGCAUCUGUCUCACAUUUUCGUCUCAUGAUGACCAUGUGCACAGGAGGUCCUCAGUUCGAGCCUGGGUCGACUCA
Lyophyllum atratum is the source of this 98-nucleotide non-coding RNA. NCBI's taxonomy places the organism in Eukaryota, Fungi, Basidiomycota, Agaricomycetes, Agaricales, Lyophyllaceae. The record is from the annotation of a GenBank genome assembly.